RNAcentral lists this ribosomal RNA (643 nucleotides) under uncultured bacterium. RNAcentral describes it as "bacterial SSU rRNA". It matches the Rfam family "Bacterial small subunit ribosomal RNA", at positions 8 to 694 of the family's 1533-position model. The record is from RNAcentral.
AGAGUUUGAUCCUGGCUCAGGACGAACGCUGGCGGUGUGCUUCACACAUGCAAGUCGAACGAGGUAGCAAUACCUAGUGGCGGACGGGUGAGUAACGCGUGGGAAUCUGCCCUUGGGUAGGGGAUAGCAGGCCGAAAGGCCUAUUAAUACCGUAUAUGCCGUGAGGUAAAAGGAGUAAUCCGCCCGAGGAUGAGCCUGCGUCCGAUUAGCUAGUUGGUGGGGUAAAAGCCUACCAAGGCUACGAUCGGUAGCUGGUCUGAGAGGAUGAUCAGCCACAAUGGGACUGAGACACGGCCCAUACUCCUACGGGAGGCAGCAGUGGGGAAUUUUACGCAAUGGGGGAAACCCUGACGUAGCGACACCGCGUGAGCGAAGAAGCCUUUUGGGGUGUAAAGCUCUGUCAGCAGGAACGAAUAAAUGACGGUACCUGCAGAGGAAGCAUCGGCUAACUACGUGCCAGCAGCCGCGGUAAGACGUAGGAUGCGAGCGUUGUCCGGAUUCAUUGGGCGUAAAGAGUUCGUGGGCGGUUUGUUAAGUCUGAUGUUAAAGAUCAGGGCCCAACCCUGGGAGUGCAUUGGAUACUGGCAGACUUGAGUACAGUAGAGGCGAGUGGAAUUCCCAGUGUAGCGGUGAAAUGCGUAGA